CCAUAGAACUGCUUCCAAAACUGUUUAGCUAGAGUCUGGGAGGGGAAGAUGGAAUUAGUAGUGUAGGGGUAAAAUCCGUAGAGAUUACUAGGAAUACCAAAAGCGAAGGCGAUCUUCUGGAACAGUACUGACGCUGAGGCGCGAAAGCGUGGGGAGCAAACAGGAUUAGAUACCCUGGUAGUCCACGCCCUAAACGAUGAAUGUUAGUCGUCGGGACUCUAGUAGUUUCGGUGAUGCAGUUAACACAUUAAACAUUCCGCCUGGGGAGUACGGUCGCAAGAUUAAAACUCAAAGGAAUAGACGGGGACCCGCACAAGUGGUGGAGCAUGUGGUUUAAUUCGAAGAUACGCGAAGAACCUUACCUAGCCUUGACAUAUUUUAGAACUCCGCAGAGAUGUAGAGGUGCCUUCGGGAGCUAAUAUACAGGUGCUGCACGGCUGUCGUCAGCUCGUGUCGUGAGAUGUUGGGUUAAGUCCCGCAACGAGCGCAACCCUCGUUCUUAGUUACUAACGGUUCGGCCGAGGACUCUAAGAAGACUGUCUUCGUAAGGAGGAGGAAGGUGAGGACGACGUCAAGUCAUCAUGGCCCUUACGGCUAGGGCAACACACGUGCUACAAUGGUUAGGACAAUGAGACGCAAUACCGCGAGGUGGAGCAAAUCUAUAAACCUAAUCUCAGUUCGGAUUGUAGUCUGCAACUCGACUACAUGAAGCUGGAAUCACUAGUAAUCGUAGAUCAGCUAUGGGGCGGUGAAUACGUUCCCGGGUC
This 767-nucleotide ribosomal RNA is filed under the name uncultured Sulfurovum sp. Its description in RNAcentral is "bacterial SSU rRNA". It matches the Rfam family "Bacterial small subunit ribosomal RNA", at positions 613 to 1380 of the family's 1533-position model. Lineage: Bacteria; Pseudomonadati; Campylobacterota; Epsilonproteobacteria; Campylobacterales; Sulfurovaceae. The record is from RNAcentral.